ACUCCCGCUGCCCGCAGCGUCCAGGAUGGAGGUGCGAGGGCUGCGGGAACGCCGGGAGGGAGCUUCCCGGCCCCGUCGUCCUGGUCUGGGACGAGGUACCGCGGAGAUGGAGAUGUUGAAGCAGUGACGGGCUCCAGGAGCAGCCACCGGUAGGGCGUGGCCCAGAGCCGAGCGACAAAGGUAAGGCAGCUGGGCUCACAGCCCCUUUUUUCUGAGAGUGGGAGCCAAGUCGGGCCGCAGGUGAUAUCAUCUUCGCAGUUGGCGAACCUGGAGAUGGCGAGUGGAGAGCACCGCGGACAGGAGCGCGCGAGACCAGCACCAAGGAGAGCUCCCGCGGUCGCCAUCGUGAGAUAGGUCGCCAGGGGCGGAGUCCGGGCCAUGGACGGAGAGAUGUGCCAGCAAGGGACUCAGCGAGACGGCGACACAAAUGUGCCGACAAACAUAUACAGAGACAGACAGAGAUAACCCAGGCAAAGGCGCGGACUUGAGGCGACAAGCUCCUGGUGAAUACCCGGACCCAGCCUCGCCGUCGCCCCCGUCGUCCAGCAGGGGUCGCUGUUACCCAGCGACCGCGCCCUCCGGGACCUUGGGGCCAGAUACUGGCCACCACCCCUUGGGAAGCCCUUCUGUCCCCCAGUGCCAAGACUGGGAGUUCGGAGGGCUCGGACACUCUCCUCUCCAACUUUGGGAAGCAUGGUGGGUUUGGCCUCACCUGUGUGAACAUGGAGGAGCGGCGAGGGAGCUGAAAAGCGCUUUAACUGCCCCCCUCUCCAACUACCAGCUAAUCGCUCCUAUAAAUACAGACGGCCUGGCCUGGCUCCUUAA
RNAcentral lists this long non-coding RNA (825 nucleotides) under Homo sapiens (human). RNAcentral describes it as "RTBDN antisense RNA 1 (RTBDN-AS1)". Lineage: Eukaryota; Metazoa; Chordata; Mammalia; Primates; Hominidae. The record is from RNAcentral.